UUUAGCAUGAAAUACACACAUAAAAAAAAUAGUUGUCCACCCCCGUUUAAAACACAAAUAACUCGUGUUUAAUAUUACAAUAAUAUCCAGACAAUUUAGCGAGUCCAGAUCUUAAAGCUGCGUAAAUGAUGGGGACCCUACAAACGUUAGAGAAUAUUAACAGUUAUACGAUAUACAUUAAAACGCUAAUAUUAUCUAACAGUUAUACGAAAUAUAUACACUUUAACUUAUAUGUGCAUUUAGCAUGAAAUACAUACCUAAAAGAAAUCGUUGUCCACCCCCGUUUAAAACACAAAUAACUCGUGUUUAAUAUUACAAUAAUAUCACAAUAAUAUUCAAACAAAUCUUAAAAUAUAUUUUUCACUUACUCACCUCCAGAAAUAUCCAUGAGGAGGGCUUCACAGACUAUCCUUUGUUAUCUGUCCUGGUACUGCUGCCAGGUGUUUGGAGUUAGGGUAAGGCCGUUAGUACAAAAAACGUAGAAUAGCAUCUGUUUCAACGGCUCUUCCGAAGUCGUUCAGAGUGCACACUUUUUGUUUUUUAAUAUCUAAAUAUUAGUGGGUAUGUGGUUAUUUUGACUUACACCGACAAUUGUGUGAUGGUGAAGGGCUACGUAAAGGACAGGGCGCAGUUUGCUUCUGAGAAUCCCUGUCUAACAGUCGCUUACCAAUCACCAGUCCAGUAGCCUUCAGAAAAAUCCAUUAGGAGGGAUUCACAGACUCUUUUUUUUAAUCGGUCCUGGCAGCUAAAUAUUCGGGGCUGUUGGCCUGUGGGUUUGCACUAAAGCUGUGCUAACAUGGUGUUAAAGUAUAUGCUCCACUAGACUCGCUCUGCGUUCGUGUCCCUAACUAGAGAAUGUACGGAAUGAGUUUACAGGGCCGUGGUGGCAUUUUCUCGGGAGAUGUCAUGUUUGCAACAGCCUGUAUAUUUGGUUUAGAGAACAAAGGCAGUGAAUUCAAACAACAGGAGGGGAUGUCGAGACAUUUUGUCUACAACCGAUCCCCUACAGAGAUAAAGUGCAGAUGCCUCAAGGCAAGGUUUUAAUUCAACAUUUUUACCCCCACACACACUCCUACUGGUCCGUCACACGCACACUCAAGCACGCACCCUGAUUUUCCGUGUCUUUUUUUUCUUCACGACAGACCGGGGUGAUGAUGUAAAAUACAUUUCCCUAUCAUUAAAGGGUGAGAUACAGUUUUAAAUUCCUUUUAACUUUUUUAAGACAUGUUAGAAUUAAUUACCAAAUUUGACUAAUAUUUAAACAUGCAUCACGAGUGUUUUAUGUAAAAACAUUGGAGGCCUACAGUUGUACAUCAUUACAAACUUUAAUAACCAGUAAUGUUUCUAACAUAACAUUGUAGGAAAGACUACAAAUAAUACAUUAUUUUUUAUAAGACCAGGGCGUGAGAGAAAAGACAGUUUCUCCUUUCGUUAAAGGGUGAGAAACAUUUUUAAAACCAAUGACUUAAUUCAAAAUAUUUAGUACAUACAUUUUAACACACGUUAUAAUUCAACAUGUUUACUAUUUGUUACAGAUAAAGGGGCUGGUUAGCCCUGACCAUUAUCCGUUUCCAAUUCACCAUUGCAAAGACGCUUGCCCGCUCCAUCGAAGCUCCGGACGUUUUCACUCCAGAGAAAGAUCCUCCUUCUGGUUUGUGAGUCCUGGGUAUGUCUCAACGAUAACCUCGGCCAUCGCCGUAAUUGUUCACGAUUUUGGAAAAGACUGUCCAGCUUAUUCAUCAGUGUUCUGAAAAUAUGAUCAUCGCCCCAUUUAAAACUGAACACUGGCAUAAAAAAGUUGACCUCCUUGCAUGCUUUGGAAAAUACAUGUGAACUGACAGAUUUCAAGCAUGUUCACAUGCUAAAAUUGUCACUUUGGAGUCAGGGGUAUACGCCAUUGAAGCAAUUCCUAGGGCCAUCAGAUCACUUCGUCCACAGACCAGUUCUUCCAACGCAUAUCUGGGUAAACUUGAAGCGCUCAGGGCCUGUUCAAUUUAACACAGCGUGAGUCUUAUCUUAAGCCAUUCUCUCAUCCUUAGCGCUGGAGAAAAACUCCCGGGUUCUGCCCGAUAAAGGGGUUUGGGACCGCUGUCUGUGAAUAUCUUAACCGUAGAUUCCUCAGGUUGGAAUAUGUAAGACAUAUGUCCCUCACUCGUACCCAAAACUCCUUUAAAACAUUCUGGGGCUUCACACAAAACAUCCUCCAGGCUUUUGUCAUUGGGUUCAUGACAUGAGCCGCAUAGCACCCCGAGAAUUGGCCUAGGAGACAUAUUUUUAUGUUUAACAUUCUGGGCUUUAUUUUAAAAAUCUUGUUUACUGUUCUGGGGUCACAUGCCUUGUUCUGGACUUUUAUUUAUAAUGUGUCUGCCACAGCCAAUAACCCAGACAUUCCUGCUUAAUAGAUAGCAACCAUAAGGGCAAUAAAACUGGGGGUGUGGGGCCAUACUCUUUCAAAAGUUAAAACACAGAACCCCCCCAGUUCAACCAGGUCCCUAGACAUCAAUCAGCAUGACAACUUCAAAAGAAUAGAUGCAAUAUAGAUAUAAAAUAACACACCCUCUAACACGCGACAACAGGAACAGGAUGUCCUGGCCGGAGGCCCAUAUUUGCACAUGUGCACGUCAUCUGGACACAGGGCCAUAAAUCAAAAUGUUGACCCGUGCCGUCUACUUUAUUCUCUUAUUCUCUCUAUCCUCCACAAACACAGUAACAGACAGAGUCACAAUCACACAGGUAUCCAUAACAUCAAUGUGUUAGUCUUACAGUCAAUACGUCACAAACUCAUUGCUAUAACACAAUGUGAACGAAUAGCAGAACUUCCAGUAAUUUGAAAUAAAUAAGCAAUACAUUAGUAGUAAUCUGUCAUCAUGUCUGUAGGAUUAUGAAUCAGAGACUUCUAUUACAGUAAUGUUGAAGGGUUCUGGGUAGUAUAAGUAAUGUUGAAGGGCCCUGGGUAGUAUAAGUAAUGUUGAAGGGCUCUGGGUAGUAUAAGUAAUGUUGAAGGGCUCUGGUAGUAUAAGUAAUGUUGAAGGGCUCUGGGUAGUAUAAGUAAUGUUGAAGUGCUCUGGGUAGUAUAAGUAAUGUUGAAGGGCUCUGGGUAGUACAAGUAAGGUUGAAGGGCUCUGGGUAGUGUAAGUCAUGUUGAAGGGGUCUGGGUAGUACAAGUAAGGUUGACGGGCUCUGGGUAGUAUAAGUAAUGUUGAAGUGCUCUGGGUAGUGUGAGUAAUGUUGAAGGGCUCUGGGUAGAACAGGUAAGGUUGAAGGGCUAUGGGUAGUGUAAGUAAUGUUGAAGGGCUCUGGGUAGUACAAGUAAGGUUGAAGGGCUCUGGGUAGUACAAGUAAGGUUGAAGGGCUCUGGGUAGUAUAUGUAAUGUUGAAGUGCUCUGGGUAGUAUAAGUAAUGUUGAAGGGCUCUGGGUAGUAUUAGUAAGGUUGAAGGGCUCUGGGUAGUAUAAGUAAUGUUGAAGGGUUAUGGGUAGUAUAUGUAAUGUUGAAGGACUCUGGGUAGUAAAGGUAAUGUUGAAGGGCUCUGGGUAGUAUAAGUAAUGUUGAAGGGCUCUGGGUAGUAUAAGUAAUGUUGAAGGGCUCUGGGUAGUAAAGGUAAUGUUGAAGGGCUCUGGGUAAUAUAAGUAAUGUUGAAGGGCUCUGGGUAGUAUAAGUAAUGUUGAAGGGCUCUGGGUAGUAUAAGUAAUGUUGAAGGGCUCUUGCUAGUAUAAGUAAUGUUGAAGGGCUCUGGGUAGUAUAAGUAAUGUUGAAGGGCUCUGGGUAGUAUAAGUAAUGUUGACGGGCUCUGGGUAGUAUCAGUAAUGUUGACGGGCUCUGGGUAGUAUAAGUAAUGUUGAAGGGCUCUGGGUAGUAUACGUAAUGUUGAAGGGCUCUGGGUAUUAUUACUUAGCCAGCUAGAAGGAUGAAGUAAGACGGUAACGUUAAAAGGAGCCCACCUCAACAGGAGCAACAAAUAGGCUACUAAGCUCUCAUAAUAACUUUGCUUUACAAAGAUUAGGCUACUGAGACAGACAGUGAUGUGGCACUCAGUGGUGAGGCUGAUGGAGGCUGCAAUGCAUGCAGGAGGAAGCAGAGGAAACAGAGAGAGAGAGGAAGCAAGGUGGAGAGAGGUUAAUACAGUGGUUCCUAAACUUAGGGUUGGGGUCCCAUGUGGGGUCCCCAGACUAAAUCUGUAUCAAAGAAGUUAGGAACUAAAAGAAAAGAAGAUGUGUUUAAAUAUGAACAUAUUCACAUGGCCUAUCUUCCCUGUAGGCCUACAUUUAAAUGCACUCAAAAUGCUAACAAUGCAGGUGUAAAAUAGUUACAUUUCCUUUAUAUCACUGGUUGUUCUUCUUAUCUCGAUCACCACAGAGUUUAUAGUUUACUUAUUACACAUAUUUUUUUAACCACAACAUCACUGAUAUUAAUACAGAAUCCUUAGUAAUAUUCAAAUCAUUCAAGUGAAUGAGACAACAUGAUCAUCUGUGUGCUCCAUUGAUAUCUGUUUGUGCGGAGCUUGAUUAGUAAUGCCUAGUAAUACAAAUGUGAACGCAAUGUCAUUUGAGAAAAGCCAUAUCUAUGUAAAGAGAUGAUGAAUUACACAUUUCAAUACUACAACUGACUGAACAGUCACUGACGCUACUUCUCAGUGUAACUCAUUUCUCAUAUUUCUCCCCUUUCCGGGGUAUAACAUGAAUGUUGUAUAGCUAUUAGGCUGUGUGUUUGUAGAUCAACUGAGGUGAAAGAACCUACAGCAGCCAAGGUGAGAAAGGCUGGGGUAACUUUUGCUUGUUUUUGCUGUUCUCCAAAAACCAUUGAAAAGUUGUUUUUAUUAUAUUGAAAUUCAAUGAGAUGCCAAUGAAUGUUUUAACUAACCUGUUCUGAAGGCUGGAACAAGUUUGAAUCCUGUUGGUACUUCGUCUCUUCUGAGAGAAAAACCUGGAGUGAGAGCAGACAGGACUGUGUGGAGAGAGGAGCUGACCUGGUGAUUGUAAACAGCAGAGAGAAACAGAGAUUUCUAUUUGCCCUUAACAAGAGAGCCUGGAUCGGUCUGACUGACAGAGAGACUGAGGGGUCCUGGAAAUGGGUUGACGGCACACCACUGAUAACAAGUUACUGGACAUUCAAGCAGCCUGAUAAUGGACGAAGUGUUUCAACCUUUCCGGCGGAGGACUGUGUUGAAUUACACAAUAUACAAGACCAGCCUGAAAAGACAUGGAAUGAUUUAAAUUGUGCAGAAAAACAUAUCUGUAUUUGUGAGUUGUGUAACAAACAAUAACCUCCUGUAACAACCCAUCCACCAUCUCCCCUUUCAUUCUGUCUCCAUCCCUACUCGUUUGUUUGUUUCGUUCUGAACAUAUGAAUCAAAUUACCAUUUACUUCCUGGGAUGCAUUAGUAGCUUCCUGUCUUCAGUAGUUACAUGAUGGACACAUCAGACACAGACAAUGAUUGAGACACAACAACACUAAAAGUAAACAGCUGCAUUAGAACAGAUAGAAGGGACCAGUAUGAGGUUGUAAAGUCAGUACAGUCGACUGCUGAUAGGUGCACAUCAGAUAAGUGCAAGACCUGGGUUCAAAUACAACUUGAAAUCUUUCAAAACCUUUGAGUGUUUGCUUUAGCCUGCCUUCAGAGCCAGGUGGGUACUGGGGCUUUUCUGUUGCAACAGAAGUAUUUUACAUAGUUCAUACAGAGAGUCAUUCUGGCAGUUCUCCUUAGACACUGGAUCCAGUGGGGUGAAUUCAUGAUUUUUCUCUGUGCUCAUUUCUAUAAUGUUGAUGCCUUGAUUUAUUGGGUCUCGUCGUCUCCGGAUUCACAGACACCCAAAUAUACCCUAUGUAUAUUUUGAAAUGGCCUAUUGAUUAACGAAACAAUUAUUUUGUGCUAUAUUUUGCCAUUUUCCCUGGAACAAGUUAUUAUACAUUGUGUCUCAAUGGGCCACUAGGCUAUAAAUAGGAUCUAUGUGCAAUGGUCAGGUCACUCUAAUGAAGAUGUCAGCUUGACGUUGAAAUGUCAGUCACCUGUUCGCAUCCUGUACAAUGCAAGCAAUAAGAAAUCAAUCUGUCUUUA
Molecule: long non-coding RNA, 6054 nt
Organism: Oncorhynchus kisutch (coho salmon)
Lineage: Eukaryota; Metazoa; Chordata; Actinopteri; Salmoniformes; Salmonidae
Exons: 3
Source: RefSeq, a predicted model, not a curated record